This 496-nucleotide ribosomal RNA is filed under the name uncultured bacterium. Its description in RNAcentral is "partial 16S ribosomal RNA". It matches the Rfam family "Bacterial small subunit ribosomal RNA", at positions 28 to 507 of the family's 1533-position model. The record is from RNAcentral.
GACGAACGCUGGCGGCGUGCCUAAUACAUGCAAGUCGAACGGGCCUGCUCUUUUUUGUGUGGGUUGAGUGGCGAACGGGUGAGUAUCACGUGAGUAACCUGACCCUUGCUCCUGGACAACGCUCUGACCGGGGUGCCAAUACGGGGUGUGCUGGUGCUGCCGCAUGGCGGUGCCGGGAUAGGUUCCCCUUUUUCUUGGGGUUCUGGCGGGGGAUCGGCCCGCGGCCUAUCAGGUUGUUGGUGGGGUGAUGGCCGACCACGGCGGUGACGGGUAGCCGGCCUGGGAGGGUGGACGGCGACACUAGGACUGAGACACGGCCCAGACUCCUGCGGGAGGCAGCAGUGGUGGGUAAUGCGCGAGGGGCGGAAGCCUGACGCAGCGACGCCGCGUGAGGGACGGAGGCCUUCGGGUUGUGGACCUCUUUCGCCGAUGGAGAAGGCGCCCCCGUGUGGGGUGCUGACUGUAGCCGGGUUAAGAAGCGCCGGCUAACUACGUG